CCUACGGGUGGCAGCAGUGAGGAAUAUUGGUCAAUGGACGAGAGUCUGAACCAGCCAAGUAGCGUGAAGGAUGACUGCCCUAUGGGUUGUAAACUUCUUUUAUAUGGGAAUAAAAUGUUCCACGUGUGGGAUUUUGUAUGUACCAUAUGAAUAAGGAUCGGCUAACUCCGUGCCAGCCGCCGCGGUAAUACGGAGGAUCCGAUCGUUAUCCGGAUUUAUUGGGUUUAAAGGGAGCGUAGGUGGAUUGUUAAGUCAGUUGUGAAAGUUUGGGGCUCAACCGUAAAAUUGCAGUUGAAACUGGCAGUCUUGAGUACAGUAGAGGUGGGCAGAAUUCGUGGUGUAGCGGUGAAAUGCUUAGAUAUCACGAGGAACACCGAUGGCGAAGGCAGUUCACUGGACUGCAACUGACACUGAGGCUCGAAAGUGUGGGGAUCAAACAGGAUUAGAUACCCUUGUAGUC
This 460-nucleotide ribosomal RNA is filed under the name uncultured bacterium. Its description in RNAcentral is "partial 16S ribosomal RNA". It matches the Rfam family "Bacterial small subunit ribosomal RNA", at positions 338 to 795 of the family's 1533-position model. The record is from RNAcentral.